AUGUAUAGGCCAGUUGCUAAAUUGUACAGAACUUGAUUUGGUCGUCUUUAUAGGGAUCUACGCUCCACUCAGCUCAGCCACCUUCCAGCAGGCGUCUUUAUCGGACUUUGUCGGUUACAGAAACUGACGCUUGGUCACAAUAGCCUGACUGUUCUUGAAAAUGGGACAUUCGAAGGUCUUCGUAAUUUAGGCGGAUUAAGUUUGGAUUUCAACAAGAUUACUCGAUUGUACGAAGGCUGCUUUAGAGGUCUUGAUAGCCUUUACUUCAUGUAAGUAGGUCGAUACUUUAGAGACAGGUAGAUUAUUCAUGUUUAAAAAAAUAAAAUAAACAGAUAACCAUAUUUUGAACUGGCAACAAUGAAAGGCGUAGUCCACACAGGCACUUGUAGGCUUAUAGGAUUUUGUACCUUCUUCAUUUCAUUGGUAUCGUAUUUAUACACGGUAAAAUAUAUUGCACCCUCUGGCUUUUCUUCAGUCUUCACUAUGCCGUGAACGAGAUUUAGAAGAAGAAAAAAGUAAUGUGUACAUCACACAAAAUAGAACGCCCUUCAAUGCACUUAAAACUAACAUAAUUACAUAAUCCAGUGUAUUUUAGC
This is a long non-coding RNA of Strongylocentrotus purpuratus (purple sea urchin), 596 nucleotides long. RefSeq lists it as uncharacterized. The transcript has 3 exons. NCBI's taxonomy places the organism in Eukaryota, Metazoa, Echinodermata, Echinoidea, Camarodonta, Strongylocentrotidae. The record is from RefSeq and is a predicted model, not a curated record.